RNAcentral lists this transfer RNA (72 nucleotides) under Camelus bactrianus (Bactrian camel). It matches the Rfam family "tRNA". Rfam says of the family: Transfer RNA (tRNA) molecules are approximately 80 nucleotides in length. Their secondary structure includes four short double-helical elements and three loops (D, anti-codon, and T loops). Lineage: Eukaryota; Metazoa; Chordata; Mammalia; Artiodactyla; Camelidae. RNAcentral also lists the same sequence under 2 other names. The record is from Rfam by way of RNAcentral.
GAGGGUAGAGCUCAGUGGUAGAGCACAUGCUUAGCAUGCACGAGGUCCUGGGUUCAAUCCCCAGUACCUCCU